This 736-nucleotide ribosomal RNA is filed under the name uncultured bacterium. RNAcentral's name for it is "bacterial SSU rRNA". It matches the Rfam family "Bacterial small subunit ribosomal RNA", at positions 757 to 1504 of the family's 1533-position model. The record is from RNAcentral.
AAGCAUGGGUAGCGAAGAGGAUUAGAUACCCUCGUAGUCCAUGCCGUAAACGAUGUGUGUUAGACGUUGGAAAUUUAUUUUCUGUGUCGCAGCGAAAGCGAUAAACACACCGCCUGGGGAGUACGACCGCAAGGUUAAAACUCAAAUGAAUUGACGGGGACCCGCACAAGUAGUGGAGCAUGUGGUUUAAUUCGAAGAUACGCGCAGAACCUUACCAACACUUGACAUGUUCGUCGCGACUUUAAGAGAUUAAAGUUUUCGGUUCGGCCGGACGAAACACAGGUGCUGCAUGGCUGUCGUCAGCUCGUGUCGUGAGAUGUUGGGUUAAGUCCCGCAACGAGCGCAACCCUCACUUUUAGUUGCCAUCAUUUAGUUGGGCACUCUGAAAGAACUGCCAGUGAUAAGCUGGAGGAAGGUGGGGAUGACGUCAAGUCCUCAUGGCCCUUACGUGUUGGGCUACACACGUGCUACAAUGAUAUCUACAACAGGAAGCAAAACGGCGACGUUAAGCAAAUCCUUAAAAGAUAUCUCAGUUCGGAUUGCACUCUGCAACUCGAGUGCAUGAAGCUGGAAUUACUAGUAAUCGUGGAUCAGCGUGCCACGGUGAAUGCGUUCCCGGGUCUUGUACACACCGCCCGUCACACCAUGGGAGUUGGUUCUACCUUAAGGCAAGGUUUAAAACCCUUGACCACGGUAUAGUCAGCGACUGGGGUGAAGUCGUAACAAGGUAACCGUA